RNAcentral lists this ribosomal RNA (818 nucleotides) under Streptomyces sp. RNAcentral's name for it is "bacterial SSU rRNA". It matches the Rfam family "Bacterial small subunit ribosomal RNA", at positions 89 to 920 of the family's 1533-position model. Lineage: Bacteria; Bacillati; Actinomycetota; Actinomycetes; Kitasatosporales; Streptomycetaceae. The record is from RNAcentral.
UGGAUAGUGGCGACGGGUGAGUAACACGUGGGCAAUCUGCCCUUCACUCUGGGACAAGCCCUGGAAACGGGGUCUAAUACCGGAUAACACUCUGUCCCGCAUGGGACGGGGUUAAAAGCUCCGGCGGUGAAGGAUGAGCCCGCGGCCUAUCAGCUUGUUGGUGGGGUAAUGGCCUACCAAGGCGACGACGGGUAGCCGGCCUGAGAGGGCGACCGGCCACACUGGGACUGAGACACGGCCCAGACUCCUACGGGAGGCAGCAGUGGGGAAUAUUGCACAAUGGGCGAAAGCCUGAUGCAGCGACGCCGCGUGAGGGAUGACGGCCUUCGGGUUGUAAACCUCUUUCAGCAGGGAAGAAGCGAAAGUGACGGUACCUGCAGAAGAAGCGCCGGCUAACUACGUGCCAGCAGCCGCGGUAAUACGUAGGGCGCAAGCGUUGUCCGGAAUUAUUGGGCGUAAAGAGCUCGUAGGCGGCUUGUCACGUCGGAUGUGAAAGCCCGGGGCUUAACCCCGGGUCUGCAUUCGAUACGGGCUAGCUAGAGUGUGGUAGGGGAGAUCGGAAUUCCUGGUGUAGCGGUGAAAUGCGCAGAUAUCAGGAGGAACACCGGUGGCGAAGGCGGAUCUCUGGGCCAUUACUGACGCUGAGGAGCGAAAGCGUGGGGAGCGAACAGGAUUAGAUACCCUGGUAGUCCACGCCGUAAACGUUGGGAACUAGGUGUUGGCGACAUUCCACGUCGUCGGUGCCGCAGCUAACGCAUUAAGUUCCCCGCCUGGGGAGUACGGCCGCAAGGCUAAAACUCAAAGGAAUUGACGGGGCC